This 267-nucleotide ribosomal RNA is filed under the name uncultured archaeon. RNAcentral's name for it is "partial 16S ribosomal RNA". It matches the Rfam family "Archaeal small subunit ribosomal RNA", at positions 718 to 982 of the family's 1478-position model. The record is from RNAcentral.
AGUCACUGACAUUAGAUACCCCCGUAGUCCAGGGUGUAAACGCUGCAGACUUGGUGUUGGAAAUCCUUCGAGGGUAUUCAGUGCCGGAGAGAAGUUGUUAAGUCUGCUACUUGGGGAGUACGUCCGCAAGGAUGAAACUUAAAGGAAUUGGCGGGGGUUAGCACCGCAACGGGAGGAGCGUGCGGUUUAAUUGGAUUCAACACCGGAAAACUCACCAGGGGAGACUGUUACAUGAAACCCAGACUAAUGAUCUUGGUUGAUUUUCAG